AUUUGGAAGGCCAAAAUUCCACUCAAAAUUAAAAAAUUUAUGUGGCAACUUUCGCAAGAUGCAGUGCUGACUAGACAGGUGAUGCGUCACAGGAAUUGGCCUGGGAACCCUGUUUGUUCAUUCUGUAACGAAAUUGAGACUUCCCAGCACUUGUUCUUUACUUGUUCGGUCGCUAGGGUGGUGUGGCGAUCUAUUGGGGUGGCUAUUGGUACCGAUAAGUGUCCCGAUAACUAUUGGCAAUUCUUUGCUUGGUGCUAUUCCUUUCUUCCAGGAGGGGAUAAGUUUUAUACUGUUGGUCUUGCUGCCACCUGCUGGGCGAUCUGGCUUGCUCGCAAUAAGGCUACCUUUGAGAAAAAGCAAAUUAAGUCUCCCUUUUAA
This 378-nucleotide ribosomal RNA is filed under the name Triticum aestivum (bread wheat). RNAcentral's name for it is "partial small subunit ribosomal RNA". The record is from RNAcentral. Lineage: Eukaryota; Viridiplantae; Streptophyta; Magnoliopsida; Poales; Poaceae.